AGUUACCAGCACGUUAUGGUGGGCACUCUAAGGAGACUGCCGGGUGACAAACCGGAGGAAGGUGGGGAUGACGUCAAGUCAUCAUGGCCCUUACGGCCUGGGCUACACACGUGCUACAAUGGUCGGUACAAAGGGUUGCCAAGCCGCGAGGUGGAGCUAAUCCCAUAAAACCGAUCGUAGUCCGGAUCGCAGUCUGCAACUCGACUGCGUGAAGUCGGAAUCGCUAGUAAUCGUGAAUCAGAAUGUCACGGUGAAUACGUUCCCGGGCCUU
This 271-nucleotide ribosomal RNA is filed under the name uncultured Pseudomonas sp. RNAcentral describes it as "partial 16S ribosomal RNA". It matches the Rfam family "Bacterial small subunit ribosomal RNA", at positions 1113 to 1382 of the family's 1533-position model. The record is from RNAcentral. Lineage: Bacteria; Pseudomonadati; Pseudomonadota; Gammaproteobacteria; Pseudomonadales; Pseudomonadaceae.